RNAcentral lists this long non-coding RNA (1086 nucleotides) under Panax ginseng (ginseng). RNAcentral describes it as "long non-coding RNA (PGIN_LNC017863)". The record is from RNAcentral. Lineage: Eukaryota; Viridiplantae; Streptophyta; Magnoliopsida; Apiales; Araliaceae.
ACUGUGCUUUCCAUGGGCUUAAAUAAUGGAGUAAUUUAGAUUCUCUUAAUUGCAUGCAUCAGCAAAUGAUACGUCACUCUUGUAGCAACAGAUUUCUUGACCCUGCACAGUUUCACGUGAUGAGGUUUCGUUCGGACUCAUCUUCCACUUCAUUCUUUUUAAUUUAUUGUGAAGCUUGAGCUCCGUACCUUUUUAUCCAGAAGGAAUCAUCUCAAAAGUAGAUGGAAUUUUUUAAUUAUAGGCCUUUAACUCUCUCUCUCUCUCUCUCUCUCUCUCUCUCUCUCUCUCUCUCUCACAGAGAGACUACAAUUAAAACCCUAUUUAAGGGAUUCAAGCUAUACCAAUACAUGCACCAAAUUAACAAACAAACAAGUCACUUUUUAUUGCAUAUACACUUCGAUUAGCUACAUAGAAAUGGCACCAAGUAAGUCAAACCUUAUGAAGGCUGGCUCAGAAGGGUUUGCGAUGUUGGAUGAGUACUUUCGACAAAAGGGCGGAUCAAAGCAGCAGCAGCAACAACAACAAUAUAUACAUAAGUUUCGGCAUCAGCCACCAAAACCUCAUGUUGUUCAGGUGAUUGUUCCUGUUCCUGAAGCCAAGGAGGCAGUACGUAUCAAUUGCUACGAGGCAGCAAAGGUCUAUGGUGGCACCGUGAUUGCGGAAUAUCCCAACACCAAGAAACCCUCCAUACGUUAUAUGCCUUGAUCUGGAAUUAGGUUCUUAUAUAAGUUAAAUUAUAUAUCCACUAGUACUAAUCAAGUCAGUCUUGUAGCUUAAAGGCUACUAUAGAACUGCAUGUGUGUUAUAAAUCAAGUCAGUCUUGUAGCUUAAGGCUACUAUAGAACUGUGUGUUAUAAAUGUAACAAAACUCAUUAUAUAUAUAAUCUGUUAGUUUUAAAUUUCUGUAGUAAUUUGCAAUAUAAUUAUCUCUGCAGUGAGUGAGUCCAAAUUUCUAUAUAAUUUAUUGUCUCCAUCGCUCGUUUAAUUAUGUAAAUAGAUAAGAAUGACAACUCAACUAUACUUGUGUAUAAUUCAUUGCCUCACUCAUUUAUUAUAUAAAUUGAUAAAAAUGACAUGACAGUAAUA